This 81-nucleotide non-coding RNA is filed under the name uncultured Lachnospira sp. RNAcentral describes it as "S10-Clostridia ribosomal protein leader". It matches the Rfam family "S10-Clostridia ribosomal protein leader". Lineage: Bacteria; Bacillati; Bacillota; Clostridia; Lachnospirales; Lachnospiraceae. The record is from RNAcentral.
UGAUAGCGUAGAAGCGUGAGGUUGCUGCUCAUAAGAGCAGGUUUUCCGUGGAGCGAAUGUCAAGGCCGGUAAGAGACCGGC